UACGGGGGGGGCAAGCGUUGUUCGGAAUUACUGGGCGUAAAGGGCUCGUAGGCGGCCCACUAAGUCAGACGUGAAAUCCCUCGGCUUAACCGGGGAACUGCGUCUGAUACUGGAGGGCUUGAGUUUGGGAGAGGGAUGCGGAAUUCCAGGUGUAGCGGUGAAAUUCGUAGAUAUUCGCAAGAACACCAGUGGCGAAGGCGGCUCACUGGCCCGAUACUGACGCUGAGGCACGAAAGCUAGGGGAGCAAACAGG
RNAcentral lists this ribosomal RNA (253 nucleotides) under uncultured bacterium. Its description in RNAcentral is "partial 16S ribosomal RNA". It matches the Rfam family "Bacterial small subunit ribosomal RNA", at positions 524 to 776 of the family's 1533-position model. The record is from RNAcentral.